Molecule: ribosomal RNA, 486 nt
Filed under: uncultured bacterium
Lineage: Bacteria
Description: partial 16S ribosomal RNA
Rfam family: Bacterial small subunit ribosomal RNA
Source: RNAcentral
AUUGAACGCUGGCGGCAUGCCUUACACAUGCAAGUCGAACGGCAGCACGGGUGUUUGCCCCUGGUGGCGAGUGGCGAACGGGUGAGUAAUAUAUCGGAACACGUCCUGUAGUGGGGGAUAGCCCGGCGACAGCCGGAUUAAUACCGCAUACGAUCCACGGAUGAAAGCGGGGGACUUUCGGGCCUCGCGCUAUAGGGUUGGCCGAUGGCUGAUUAGCUAGUUGGUGGGGUAAAGGCCUACCAAGGCGACGAUCAGUAGCUGGUCUGAGAGGACGACCAGCCACACUGGGACUGAGACACGGCCCAGACUCCUACGGGAGGCAGCAGUGGGGAAUUUUGGACAAUGGGCGAAAGCCUGAUCCAGCAAUGCCGCGUGUGUGAAGAAGGCCUUCGGGUUGUAAAGCACUUUUGUCCGGAAAGAAAUCCUUGGCUCUAAUACAGUCGGGGGAUGACGUUACCGGAAGAAUAAGCACCGGCUAACUACGUG